RNAcentral lists this small RNA (1220 nucleotides) under Pongo abelii (Sumatran orangutan). RNAcentral's name for it is "processed transcript". Lineage: Eukaryota; Metazoa; Chordata; Mammalia; Primates; Hominidae. The record is from RNAcentral.
AGAAGCAGCGGGGAGGCCGGGAGCCCGCGGGCCGGAGCCGCCCGGCCCGAGCGUGGGGGCUGCGGGGCCGGCCCACCCGUGGGGACGACUUGAGCGUUGAGGGCGCGCGGGGAGGCGAGCCACCAUGUUCAGCCAGCAGCAGCAGCAGCAGCUCCAGAGAGCUUUGCUUUUACAGCAGUUGCAAGGACUGGACCAGUUUGCAAUGCCACCAGCCACGUAUGACACUGCCGGUCUCACCAUGCCCACGGCAACACUGGGUAACCUCCGAGGCUACAGCAUGGCAUCCCCAGGCCUCACAGCCCCCAGCCUGACAGCCCCCAGCCUCACACCCCCACAACUGGCCACUCCAAAUUUGCAACAGUUCUUUCCCCAGGCCACUCGCCAGUCCUUGCUGGGACCUCCUCCUGUUGGGGUCCCCAUGAACCCUUCCCAGUUCAACCUUUCAGGACGGAACCCCCAGAAACAGGCCCGGACCUCCUCCUCUACCACCCCCAAUCGAAAGGAUUCUUCUUCUCAGACAAUGCCUGUGGAAGACAAGUCAGACCCCCCAGAGGGGUCUGAGGAAGCCGCAGAGCCCCGGAUGGACACACCAGAAGACCAAGAUUUACCGCCCUGCCCAGAGGACAUUGCCAAGGAAAAACGCACUCCAGCACCUGAGCCUGAGCCUUGUGAGGUGUCCGAGCUGCCAGCAAAGAGAUUGAGGAGCUCAGAAGAGCCCACAGAAAAGGAACCUCCAGGGCAGCUACAGGACACAGGACCACAAGAUUGCCAAACAAUCCUUGCGACCCUUCUGCACCGUUUGCAACCGCUACUUCAAAACCCCUCGCAAGUUUGUGGAGCAUGUGAAGUCCCAGGGGCAUAAGGACAAAGCCAAGGAGCUGAAGUCGCUUGAGAAAGAGAUUGCUGGCCAAGAUGAGGACCACUUCAUUACAGUGGACGCUGUGGGUUGCUUCGAGGGUGAUGAAGAAGAGGAAGAGGAUGAUGAGGAUGAAGAAGAGAUCGAGGUUGAGGAGGAACUCUGCAAGCAGGUGAGGUCCAGAGAUAUAUCCAGAGAGGAGUGGAAGGGCUCGGAGACCUACAGCCCCAAUACUGCAUAUGGUGUGGACUUCCUGGUGCCCGUGAUGGGCUACAUCUGCCGCAUCUGCCACAAGUUCUAUCACAGCAACUCAGGGGCACAGCUCUCCCACUGCAAGUCCCUGGGCCACUUUGAGAACCUGCAG